Molecule: long non-coding RNA, 518 nt
Organism: Hyposmocoma kahamanoa
Lineage: Eukaryota; Metazoa; Arthropoda; Insecta; Lepidoptera; Cosmopterigidae
Exons: 3
Source: RefSeq, a predicted model, not a curated record
AAUUACCUUUUAAACUAAGUACCUUUUUUACAACAUGCGAAGUAAAAAAGCCGUCAAAGUUGUAUGCUUGCAGCUCUUGUGCAUCAAUAUUUCGAAAUAACAGAGAGUUAUUGGAACAUCAAGAAAUUCAUAGUUUGGAAAACAAAUUGACCAUCGACACGGACAAGAUAGAUUUGAUGGAUAAAACGAAUAUGAAACCGUAUUACGUCAUAAAGUCUAAGACAGGAACGCGGUAUUCCUGUUUACAAUGCCCGAUGCAUUUCAACAAAAUCACUAAUUGCCAGAGGCAUGUAAAGACACAUCAACGAUUGGCAAACAAUAAAAAAGACAGUAAAGAACCAAAAUCAAAUAAGGUCAAGGAACACAUUUAUCAAUGUUCAUUGUGCCCUAGUUCAUAUCACCAUCCUUCUUCUCUGACCAAACACUUCACAGGUGUCCAUGUGAAAGCACAAGUUCAAAAAGAGUCUCGUUUCGAAUAUGUCAAUGAAUAAGAAGAGGUACAUACCAUAUAGAAUAAU